UUCGGGAUGCCGGCGAGUGGCGAACGGGUGAGUAAUACGUGGAAACCUAUCCCGAGGUGGGGGAUAACAGCUGGAAACGGCUGCUAGUACCGCAUAAGCCCUAAGGGGGAAAGAUUUAUCGCCUUGGGAGGGGUCCACGUCGGAUUAGCUAGUUGGUGGGGUAAAGGCCUACCAAGGCGAUGAUCCGUAGCUGGUCUGAGAGGAUGAUCAGCCACACUGGGACUGAGACACGGCCCAGACUCCUACGGGAGGCAGCAGUGGGGAAUAUUGCGCAAUGGGAGAAAUCCUGACGCAGCGAUACCGCGUGGGUGAAGAAGGUCUUCGGAUUGUAAAGCCCUUUCAGCAGGAAAGAUGAUGACGGUACCUGCAGAAGAAGCCCCGGCUAACUCCGUGCCAGCAGCCGCGGUAAUACGGAGGGGGCGAGCGUUGUUCGGAAUGACUGGGCGUAAAGGGCGCGUAGGCUGCUCUGCAAG
This 473-nucleotide ribosomal RNA is filed under the name uncultured Magnetococcus sp. RNAcentral describes it as "bacterial SSU rRNA". It matches the Rfam family "Bacterial small subunit ribosomal RNA", at positions 79 to 587 of the family's 1533-position model. The record is from RNAcentral. Lineage: Bacteria; Pseudomonadati; Pseudomonadota; Magnetococcia; Magnetococcales; Magnetococcaceae.